AGUACUAACCAAGCCAUAUUUGCUAAGCUAGCACGUACACUGGCACGGCAAGCCAUAUUUGCUCGAUUCGAACACGUAGACACUAACCAGACUUCGCUAGUCCAGAUUACUGCUAAAGAUGAAUAUAGCGGAAAGAUGAAUAGCGGUCAAUAGAGUAGUACGUGUUUGCACAGGCCUGCGAUGCAGACACAUCCAAUGUGGUGGCACUUACACGAUCAGUUGGAGGUAACCUACCCUCGAAGCAACCCGGGUCUCCUCGUUUUAACUGAAGUUCCUGAUACAUGUCAUGCGCACAAGGAGAAAAACAAACAGCAUAUAGAGCCGUUCAGCGCAUACUUGGCCAUGAGUUACUCUCAUUUCUCAUGUUCUCCUCUUAUUAGCACGAGAAGAAAACUAGCACUGCCUGCACUGGUAAUCUACUUGGAGGAGCUAGCCAUCUAUUUAUUGGCAAAGUGCAUGCCUUGAUAUGGCUUGUGAAAGGACGUGUUGUUAGAAAUCGUUCAAACCUGACAUGGAUACAUACCAUGGGGUUGUUUGAAGGAUGUUCAAAACUAGACCAUGUUGAACAGAGGCUGUUUGGGUAUGAAGGCUCUGUUUGAGAGUACGUUUUUUCUUAACAUCCUUGAAAUGACCUCAUUUUUUCCAUGACCUUGGAUGACCAAUUUUUUGAAUCCGUCAAAUUGCAUUAAAUUUCCUGGAGUUUGGGUAUGAAGUCACCAUGCCACGUUGUUUUGGUAUAUGAAGUCACCAUGACGUUGUUUUGGUAUAUGAAAUUUCCUGAGAGUAUGUUGAACAGAGGGUGUUCGGGUAUGAAGUCAUCAUGCCACGUUGUUUAGGUAUAUGAAACAUUUUGCAUUUCCUGGAGUUUUCUCUAUAAAAAUGGCUGAUAAAUGGAUGGACGUGUCACAACUUACAUAUGUUGACGGAAAUCAUUCAAAUAUGAGAUGGAUGUAUACCAUGGGCAUGGCCACUUUCCUGCAAAAAUUACGGUCAUUUCAAGGAUGUUUAAAACUAUACCAUGUUCAACAAAGGGUGUUCGGGUAGGCCAAAACACUAGAGCAUGCUCUUUCUUGACAACCUUGAGUUGACCCCAAAUGUUUUUUGCAUGGACUUGUAUGACCAAUUCAUUAUUCCUAGUUGUUUUGGUUUUCAGCAUUUUUAUUUUCUGAAGUUUCUUGGUUGAAAAGAAAGUCGGUAAAUAGCCGGACGUGUCGCAACUUGCAUACGGUGUCAACAGUUGUACAAACCAGAAUUGUAUGCCUACCGUUGGUAUGCCCACCUGCUUGAAAAGUUGAGGUCAUUUGAAGGAUGUCCAAAAAUAGACCAUGUGCAAGAGAGGGUGUUCAGGCAGGGCCAAAAGGGUCCAUCUAAAGGAUGCUCUUUUUUGAAUCCAUCAAAUGGCAUUAAAUUUAUCAACUUUUUUUGAAACACAAACAUUUCCUAAAUUUCCAGACAAAAAAUAUUC
This 1465-nucleotide long non-coding RNA is filed under the name Hordeum vulgare. Its description in RNAcentral is "long non-coding RNA (HVUL_LNC014648)". Lineage: Eukaryota; Viridiplantae; Streptophyta; Magnoliopsida; Poales; Poaceae. The record is from RNAcentral.